CUGGUUAAUUUUACGUGUGGUCAGUGGAAUUUUACUUACAAAAAGGAAUGUUAAACUGCCUCAAAGACCUCGACUGAACCUGGGAAAGGCUCCUGGAUUUUGGUGGUCCAUUAAGCCCUUAAAAACAUCUCCAUGUAAAUGGUGAGAAAAAUGAUAAACAUUCUCUAGUUGUCUAAAAAAAAUGCAAGAGAAAUAAGAAUGAGAUUUUCUAUCUGACUGCUGUUUUUACUUUUAUUCCCCCGUGCCUAUUUGGCUUAACAUCUUC
This 265-nucleotide long non-coding RNA is filed under the name Cyanistes caeruleus (blue tit). RNAcentral's name for it is "lncRNA (ENSCCEG00000016476.1)". Lineage: Eukaryota; Metazoa; Chordata; Aves; Passeriformes; Paridae. The record is from RNAcentral.